Molecule: long non-coding RNA, 21050 nt
Filed under: Citrus maxima (pomelo)
Lineage: Eukaryota; Viridiplantae; Streptophyta; Magnoliopsida; Sapindales; Rutaceae
Description: long non-coding RNA (CMAX_LNC001551)
Source: RNAcentral
UAAAUCUACUAACUUUUCCACUUUGAAGGUAUGCAUAUUAAAAUCCACAACUUUUAUACAUGAUAAAUUCUUUUUGGACGAAUUUACAAGUUACAACAGCAUUGGUGGAUCACCCUAUAUAUUAUUUAUGGGAACCUGUAAAACACAAAUAUUAGAAGCACAUAUAUGCUGAAUCAUUGAGAAGGAUAUAUGCUGUAAAUUACCUCUAGAUAGUAAUUCCAUUUUGUAUUUGCCUAAUUACUUAGUUGCAUGCGAUUCUCUUGUACUCUCCAUGCAUUUUUUUCUCAGUUGUAUCAUUUGCAGAUUUGGAUGCUGCUAUAGCCAAACAUCUAUAUUCAUUGCAACAUUGCAAAAUUCUUCACCUGGUUUGCAACACUUUGACUUUAAUUUUGAUAUUUAAUUAAUUGAUUUCACCUAGGCUACUUUACUUAGAUAGUAACUAAUUUCAGGUAAGGCAUGGACAAGGGGUCCACAAUAUGGAAGGAAAUAAUGGCCCAGAAGCCUUAUUAUCUCAAGAAUUUUUUGAUGCACAGCUUUCACCUCUAGGGUGGCAGCAGGUGGAUAAUUUGCGGAAACGAGCUGAAGCAAGUGGACUUGCCCGAAAGAUUGAUUUAGUCAUCACAUCCCCAUUGUUAAGGUUAUUAUUGAUUUAAGUUAUAUUAUGACUUGAAACAAAAGAUCAGCAGUCAGCAGCUAGCACUGGAUUGUGUCUUGUGGGUAGCUAGCUUACAUAUGGUUUGUUAAUAAUGGGGGUUGCAGAACUUUGCAAACAGCGGUUGGAGUUUUCGGUGGGGAUGGUCAAAGCCAGACGGAUGGGAUCGAUGCGCAUCCAUCUCUGACGGCAACAGCAACUGUUAACUGCCCACCGAUUGUAGCGGUUGAGCUUUGCCGAGAACGUUUGGUACGUACGUUAGCUUUAAAUUGGUAUGUGCACAAGAAUCAACUUCCAUCACACAUGUAUAAUUCUGCUCACAGCCGCGUCAUCUGCUGCAUGCAGGGAGUUCAUCCAUGUGACAAGAGAAGAAGCAUCAGUGAGUAUCGGUCUCUUUUCCCAGCAAUCGACUUUAAAUUGGCAAGUACCUGAGCCGUUAUCAUCCAAUUCUCCAAUCCAUAGAAUUGAGUUAAGAAGAAUCUCUUAGUUGGUAUCACAAGUUUGUUCCUUACAAGUAAAUUUUGUUUUGUAUUGUUUUGCUCAGAUAGAAAGUGAAGAUGACAAGUUGUGGAAAGCUAACACAAGAGAGCCCUUCGAAGAGGUUGCAGCAAGGGGAAUAGAGUUCAUGAAAUGGUGGCUUACUUUUUUUUAAUGUUUUUUAUUUAUUUAUUUUUAUUUUUAAGUAACAUGAUCAAGGGCGCCAUGAAACUAAUAGCUCUCCUAUCAUACGUAUAGGUUAUGGACUCGACAAGAGAAGGAGAUUGCAGUUGUCAGCCAUGGGAUAUUCUUGCAGCAAACUCUGAAUGCACUUCUAAACGAUUGUCAAGCAUCCUUCAACCAAGAACUAUGCCCACGGUCGGUCAGCUGCAACUAUAUUUUCGAUAAUUUUUUUUCUUUUUUUUGCUCCUAUUGCAACUUCAAUAAAAAGACAAUUAUUUUUUUAACCCUCAACUGUUGUUUGUAUAAUAUGUGCUUUAGGUUUACAAAUUGUGAAAUACGGUCGGUGGUCAUCGUCGACAGGAGGUGAACAUUAGAUUCACACGACACAUUCAUUCUAACAUGACGCAUGCAUUCUAUUCUUACUAUAAACUAUGCUCAACAUUUUAAUUUUAAUUUUAAUUUUUUAUUUUUUUCCUAAAUCUACAGCAUAACGGGUUCAUGUUAUCCUGAAACUAUAUCCGGCGAGCUUCGUCUUCAUGGGGAUGCGAAAAUUCCGAGUGAAGAAGUAUCCAAUUAAUUGGCUACUAAUAUCCAUUUGAAACCAUAAUGUUUUUAACUACGUACGACUCCACGAGCUACUAAUAUCCAUCAAUAUGCGCGUGCAGCUUCCCACAAAAAGACAAGACUACUCCUAAUCAAGAAUUCUACAAUAUUUUUAACUCUUCAAAUGACUAAAUGAGGGGCUUUUUGUUAGUGUUGCAAAUAAUAAAAUAUACCUACCUUACUGUACAUUGUGUUCUUCCACCCUAAUUCAACAAAAUUUCUAAGACAAAAAACAAUUAAAUGUUCUGAUUUUUUUUUGUACUUAAAAAAAAAAAUGAACCAUUUGAUUAAUGAAAAAGAUUUUGCUUAGUGAGCUAGUGUUUCUUAGCAAUAAGCACAAAUACUACCAGAAUAGAAAGCAACAGAAAAAAACAGCUGCCAUGAUGUUGAAAUUAGCAGCCUUUACGGGUCUUUUCCUUUCUUCUUUCAAUUCCCUUCCUCUCUUGCGAAGAGCUAGAUCUCAAAUUGAAAAGGACUACUACAUCCCAAAAAGUUUUGCUAAUUAUCGAGGGUGCUUUUAUUUCAGUGUCCAAGUUUAAUGAGGAAUCAUUAAGAGCUUCCAUGGACAUUAACUCAACACAAUGUUCUCUAAGAGCCUAACGUAGCAUGAAAAACACAAAUCGAAACAAGCACUUGAAGCAAUGAAUAAGAAUAAGUCUUUAUUAUUUUAAUUAUUUUAAAAUUUAAAAAAGAUUUGGAUGAGGAUGGGAAACCUCAACCCCCAAACACCAACUCUUGUCCUUUCAUUGUACCAGAAAUUAUUGAAGUUAGUUUUAGAAAGAAGAGAGAAAUAGAGUUCAUAUUAUUAUUUUAGAAAUACAAAGCUCAAGUGUUUCGGAUGGUUGAAGGUAGUCCCAUAUAUAUGUAUCUGCCAACCAAGGCACAAAAACUCUUCAUGGAAAUGAAAGACGACAUGUUUUAUAAUAUUAACAAUAUAGUUAAUGAUAAAGUUGAUAAUCUCAAAAUAGUUGAAGGCUUCAACCAACAAAAAGAAUUACAUGAUUCAAAAUUUGCAAGCACACCUUCUGCAGAUGUAUCAUUUAAGAAUGGUAUAAGCAACUCAACUUCAUGCAAACCAUCUAUUGAGCAGGGCUCAUCAUUAACAACCUAAAAUUACAUAAAAUGUAAAGGAAACUCCUCAUUGUAAGUCAGUAUGGAAAGAAUGCAGUGUAAGACAAUUCUCAUUGAAAUUAUUGGGAAUUAUUAACUAAAUUGAAUACAAAUUGUAAAAAGGUCUCGCAAUAUGGAUGCAUUUUAUAAGCUUUAAUUUGAAUUCUUUGCGGGAUUAUAGAAAAUGAUUUCUAGUAGUUCCUAGAGUUAUUCUUCCAUAGUGAACAUGAAUUAGGCUCACCACAACAAAUUAGAAUGAAUAGUAGAAAGUAAAUUGCUUACAAAAUUUCCACUACAAUAGCUUUUGCACCUCUAAGCUCAUUAGCAUGAACUAAAAUUCUUUGGUGAAGAAUGUCACUAAAUGUUUGGACAUUUGAUGCACCCAUAAGCCUUAUCGGUAGUUUGCUAGAAUGUGGGAAACAUCAAAUUACUAUUAAUGCAAAGAUUAAUGAACUCUCAAAACUCAAUUGGUGCACCAAACAUGACUAUAUUUAUAGCAAUUAUGAUGAAAGCUCUCAAGCGCCAAUGCAAAUACAGUAAAACCUCUUUAUAGUUAUAAUGUUAGGACUAAACUAAUUUUAUUACUAUGCGAAAGUUACAACAAAAUAGAGAUAUAGUUAAAAAAAAUUAUUGUUUUGGACUUAGUUAUCCCUAAUAUAAUAGGAAUACAAUUUAUGAAAUGGUGACUUACCUUUUUAAUGUUUAUUUUUGUUUUUAUCUUUUUUAUUUUUAAGUAACAUGAUUAAGGGCGCCAUGAAACUAAUAGCUCUCUUAUUAUACGUAUAGGUUGUGGACUCAACAAGAGAAUGAGAUUGCAAUUGUCAGCCAUGGCAUAUUCUUGUAGCAAACUCUGAAUGAACUUCUAAACGACUGUCAAACAUCCUUCAACUAAGAACUAUGCCCACAGUCGGUCAUCUAUAACUGCAUUUUCGAUAAACUUUUUUUUUUGUUUGCUCCUAUUGCAAAUUCAAUCAAAAUGAAUUUUUUUUUAACCUUCAAUUGUUGUCUGUAUAAUAUGUGCUUUAGGUGUACAAAUUGUGAAAUACGGUCGGUGGUCAUAAUUAACAGAAUGUGAGCAUUAGACCCACACGACAUAUUCAUUCUAAUAUGACGCAUGCAUUCUAUUCUUACUAUAAAUUAUGCUCAAUAUUUUUUAUUUUAUUUUAUUUUUUUCCUAAAUCUGCAGCAUAACCUGUUCAUGUUAUCUCGGAACUAUAUCAGGUGAGAUUCAUCUUCCUUGGGAUGCAGCAAAAGAGAAUAUUCCUAUCGAGUGAAGAAGUAUCCAAUUAAAAAUGUAAAAUGUAAAAUGCUCCAACUACUAUGAGACCCUAGCAUUCUACCAGUGUAAAAAAAAAUUGAAGAAGAAAUAUAUCCUCUAACUAUUUUUUGAGCUAUAGUCGUGUAUUUUUGUAAGUUACAUAACUUUUGUCAUGUAUGUAUGAAUUUACACCACUGCAAUCAUGUAAGUGUGAAAAAUAUAGUAGCUAUUAUAACACCUAGCAUUCUAUUAGUGUAAAGAAUAUAUUGUUUUUACUAAAUAUAUCAUUUGACUGUUUACUAGACUACAUUUGUGUGUUUUAGCAAGUUACACAACUGUUAUCGUGUAAACGAGCAAUUACACGACUGCAAUCGUGUACAUGGGCAGGCGGUUCCACACUUUGUUUUAUGCCUUGUUUGAUUUUGAUUUUGAUUUUAUAUUUGUUGUAUCAUUACACAAAAUGACUUCAAUACAUGCGCCUAUUAUGUUUUGUGGUGAAUGAAUUAAGUAAAAUGACUAUUAUAGAUUUAAUGGUAUAAAGGCAAUAAGGAUCAUGGUGCCUCAUUCUACAACAUAUGCACAAUUGAUAGAAAUAAUAUUUAGGUUUAUUUUCAUUGAUUUUUUUGAAUUUGACAUUGAAAUGAAGUUCAAGCUUAAAACAUUCGAUCUAAUGUCGUCCGUUCCAAUUUUGACUGAUGAUAAUGUAGAUUAUUUUCUAAAGGAAACGAUUAGUAGAGCUGACUUGAACAAUUCGCUUUGUAUUACCUACAAACGAAAAUAGAUUUUAAAGACACUUAUUCCUGAUGUUGACUUUAACUUUAAGCCAUAUAGUUGUCCACAAGAAACCGUUGAGCUAUAUGUUGGAGGUGAAAGUUUAAGUCGAAAUAAUUUUUUUGCUAAAGAUUAAUCAGAAUUCAAAUUUGUUCCUAAAACACAACCUAUUGAUAGAAGGGUGCUGAAUUUAGAAAAUGUGAAUGUUAUUGUUCUUGAUGAUUUUGAUGAGAUAAUAGUUAGUAAUCAACAGUCGAGAAUGUAACACCUUGCAAUAUGAGUUUCUAUUCCUCUAAUAGUAUAUAUAUGCCUGUAGUCAAUUUGUUUGCAUGCAGUAAUUCAUUAAAUAACGAUAACUCGCAUUCGAAUAGUAAUAACUUGCCAUCCAUGAGUGUUGUUGGUAAUAGUGAUAUGUUAAUGGUGAAAAAGUUGUUCGAUUCGUAAGAGGAGUUACAAGAAGUUCUUUCUAUGGAAGCUUUAAGGAGAAAUUUUAAGCUUAAAACCUUUAAGGUAGGGAAGAACAUACUUCUUGUUAGAUGUAGUGACGAUAAUUGUAAGUGGUUACUCCGUGCUACCAAGCUUGAAAGUUUGAAUAUGUUUGAAAUUAGAAGGUAUUAUAACGUUCAUACUUCUGCACUUGAUGUUCGUAAGAGAUAUCAUCGUCAUGCUUCAUUCAUACUUCAUCUUCAUAGAGGCCUAGUGAGAUUAGAUAAGAAUGUCAGAAACAGUUUGAGUAUAAAAUAAGUCAUUACAAAGUAUGGGAAGCAAAAGAAUAUGCAAUGGAGAAAGUUAGAGGCACGCUUGAGGAUUCAUUCAAAUUAUUAUCUUCCUAUAUGGUAAUGUUGAAGAAGAAAAUUUUAGAUACAUGUAUAUUUCUUAAAGUUAACAAUGUAAAUAACUUUAAAUAUUUUUUAUAGCAGUUGGAAGCUAUGUACAUGGAUUCAUUUCAUCAAUAAGGUCAGUCAUUACAAUUGAUGGUACAUUCUUAAAGGGAAAAUUAAAAAAAAAAACUUUGUUCUUUGUGACAACACUUGAUGAUAACAAUCAAUUUUAUCAUGUUGCAUAUAGUAUCAGUGACAGUGUGAACGAUGCCUCAUAAGGGUGGUUUCUAAAAACUUUAAAGGAAGCAAUAUGUGAAAUUCUUAAUUUGGUUUUCAUUUCCGACCGACACCUAAGUAUGAAGAAAAAUAUUAACAUUGCAUUCCCAGAAGCUGUAUAUGAUAUUUGUACGCAUCAUUUGAAGCAAAAUUUAUGUGCUAAAUUUAAAGAAAUUGAGCUAAAUGCAAUUGUUAAACUAGUUGCAAAGGCCCAUCGAUCACAACAAUUUAACUAUUUUACGAAUGAGAUACAAAAGGUCAAUGAAAGAUUGCAAAAUAUCUUUAUGAUGUAAGAUAUGAGAAAUGAGCUUGUUCUCAUUUUGAUGGGUUGCAUUAUAGUAUUAUGACAACCAACAUAACAUAAUCCAUGAACUCUGUCCUUAAAAAUCCUCGAGAAUUGUCAAUUUAUAAGUUAUUGGAUUUGAUCAUUGAUAAACUACAAGAGUGAUUUUGUGAUAGGCGAAAAGAGACAAUUAAUUGUCACACUCGACUAACAAAAUAGACUGAAAAAGAAGUUGGUUAGAAAAUCAGAGGAUUCCUGUACAUAUAAAGUGGUGGCACUAAAUAUGUAUGAAUUUAUUAUUAAAUAUGAUGACCUUGAUAGUCAUGUCAACAUUCUUGACAAGAUAUAUAGUUGCCAGGAAUUUCAACUCGAUCAACUACCUUAUGAACAUGUAUUAGCUGUAUGUAGGUGCCAAUAAACAUUGCUUGCAUAUGAUAUGUGCUCAUAUUACUAUUCAAUGAAGUUUGAGUUGCAAUAUAAGCAUAAAUAAUCUAUCUUGUUGGUGCGCAAGAAGAAUGGUAGGUUUCAUAUGAAGUGCGUAAUAAUAAGAUUUUACCCCUUAUGGAGAAGCAGAAAAUGGUCGUCCACAAGAAAUUAAAAUAGUAUUAUAAGGUGAGGAGAAGUUAUGUUGUAAGUGUGGUAGGUGCGAUUAUAUAAGACACUAAUUCCACUGUCUGACAAUAAACCUGUAAUUGAACUGAAUAAAACAAAAACAAGUAUGUGUAGUAGCAACUUUUGUUCACUUAAAACUUAUUUAUGAUUCUAACAUGUGUUGGACCUAUGUUGUUUGAUGUAGAAAAGCUUUCGUUAUUUGAUGUAUUGAAGUUUGAUGUGUUACAUUAAUUGUGUUGUUUAUCAAGUACGUUGAUUGUGUUAUCAUUUUGAUGAGUGCUUUAGGUAGUUUUUAUUCCUUAUCCACGUACUCGACUAACGUUGUAUAUUUAUGAAGUUACUUGAUUGUUGUCGUGAAUCGACGAAGUUUACUCGACUAUAGUCAUUUAUUAAAAGAUGAAUCAUUGAUAUGUAACUGAUGGGUAAUGAUUUAUAAAUGUCAAAUGAUUAAGAAUAAUUGGUGUAUCUAUGAAGAUACUCGACUAUAGUCACGUGUAUCUAGAAAGAUACUCGACUGUAGUUAUGUAUCUAUGAAGGUACUGGACUGUAAUCGUGAACUUAGGUUGAACAUUCCUUCAAUGUUUAUGAUUAUCCAGUUAUAUUACAUAUAUGAUGCAAAACUACCUUCAAUUCUUUCAAUAAUAAACUUAACAAAAAAUAAAGCUUAUAUAUGAUGCAAAACUAUCUUCAAUUACAUCAAAUGUCAAUUGCAUCUCUAUUGUAACUGUUACAUAUGACAAUAAUUUAUCCAAAAAAUGAAAAAAUCAUUGUAAUAAAGUUCUUUAGGGUAUGACACUAGGUCGUUGGUUUCACAACCUAUGUCCAAAUAAUUUGACAUGCAAUGCUUUUCGAUAACAUCACCGUGUUGGCAAUAUGUGUUGACAUCAAGGCCAUGGGCUAGAAUCUCCAAGUACCGUAACAAAAAUGCUCUACAGUCACCACUAAGAAAAUUCAUAUAUAUCAAUAAUAAAAUCACCAUUUUAAUUAAAAAAAACCAAUAAAUAAUGUGCUCAAUUGUAUACCCUGAUUUUUGUUGCGGGAUAUUUCGUACUCGCAAGAUGGGCCAAUGGACUUUUGAUAUGACAUCAGCACAAUCUGGAUGUGUUUUGUGAUAUGAUAUCUUUUGAAAUAGCAGAGGUAUCGUGUCUACAACAUGUAGCAAUUGUUUGACCAAACUUUAAUCUUUUGUAGUCUAUUAUAGAGUCAUAAACAUUAAUCUUACCCGCAGAUAUAUCGACCACCCUAAAAUCCAAUGCUUAUUCAUAAGUAUCGACAAAUAUACCUGCAUAGUUUGGGCAAUAUUUGAGGAACGAAAUGCCACAUAAUAUAAAAAAGAAUGUCAAACUCACUGUCGAAACACUUUUCUAAAAAGUGGCGUAGUCUAAUUUUGCACCAUUAGUGUAAUCAAUGCAAUAACUCCCCUUUUCUGACACCUUAUCCGGGUUUUCCAUGUACAAUAUAUCAUCUCUUAUUAUUUUUAGAGGUUAAGGAAAAUGUAUGCAAAAUUAAUCAUACCAGAAAAUUGUUGUCCAUAAUGGCAUAAAAUUGUAUGUUUGGAGUCGUAGCGCAGGACAUAUCUUUUCUUAAGUAGUACCAUGCAAUGUCGAUAUGCUGAAUAUAAAAUGUGAAUUUUUAUUUAGGAAAUAGCAAAUAUUUAUAAAAAAAUGAUAAAAACAAAUUGUGCUAAAUAACUUAUAAAAUUAGAUAACCAUGUGUCUGGUGUAUAUAAUUUAUGAAAACAUUCUCUAUCAAUAUCCAUAAUAGUCAAAUUGAUAACUUUCAUGUAUAGAUAAAUGACAAUGACUAAAGGUGUUAAAUAAAUAUACAUUAUAAUAAUAAUAAAAUAAAAAGUUAAUAUCAUAAUAUGAGAUAACUUACGACUCUUUUUUUAUCAUUGGUGAAAUCCAUCCAUCGCUGCAGCUCCAGUAAUUCCUCUCAGGGUAUAAGGGGAUGCACUUGAAAGUCUAUUGUCUUUUGAGGGUGCACCUCAACAUCUGUUGUCUCUUGUGACUUUUUUAAGCGAAUGGUGUACAAUGUACGUAAGUAAGUCAAAGUUUUUGUUUCUCUUCUCUUCCGUAAAUUAUAUACUAAUCUAUAAUCUUUUUCUUGCGUUUAGAUGACAAUUAGAUCCCUUCUGUACCAUGACAAUUAUCUAGCAUUUUUAAUAGGAGUGUAUCAUUUGUUGUACUACAAAUAUUGAUGAGCAUGUCCAAUGGUUGUUAUAUUAGUGAGACAAAUGUGACGUCCAUAGGAUCAUUUAUAGGCCACAGACACAACAACUAAAUUGUUUGAGAAUUUAACAAACACACAUACUCAAUGAACAAAUAUUGACAGUUUUAUAUAUCAAACCACAUUACCAUAAGUAAAUUGUCUGCUUAAUAAAUUUAUUACAUUAAAUAGAAAGAUUACGGUAAAGAUGAAUGGGCUCCCUUGAAAUCACUAUAUUUCAACAAACAUGCAAGUAAAAAUUUAGAACUAUCAAAUUUCAUAUACGCAGCUAGUGAGCUAGCACACCAAAAUAUACGUUCUAGCUAGUCUAAGGGAAUACAACAGAAAAAUUUACAAUUUGAUUUUUGUAAGUUUGUGGUCGUAAAAAAGAGAUAAAGUUCGCUGAGUUAUUAACUAGACCCAUUCAUCCAAUUAGUCAUGUACACAAAUGUUAUGGCAUGUAAAUGCAAAGCUCUAUUUAAGAUUGCUUGAAACAAAAAUCAAGAAAAAUAAUGUCAAAUGGCAGACGGAAAAUUCUUAAAUUCUUUUUGUUAGAACGAAUAUUGGCAGAUAUGGUUUCGUAAAUUUCAAAGCCUAAUACUAUCAGUAAAACAAGCUAAAUUGCCAAGACACCCAAUAGUCCUUGUAAUUAAAGAGAUUAAAGAACAAUUACUGUUACUUAAUCACAUUGCAAAUUAAACAUGUAUUCUUAAUAUCAAAACAAAAUGCAAAAGGAAAAUAGCUGACCAAAGGUCCCAUAUGAUUAAUAGAAAACUACUGACUGCAUACCCAAUCAAAGGACCAGCAGUGGAGCAAAACCCACAAAGACUCUGAAGUAAAACCGUGAAGUAGUAGUAGGAAAAGCGUUGUCAGAGUUGGCCUUACCUAAUAGCCCACUAGAACGACACUUUAUUCUUUGUUUUCUGUUUUGACCAGUAAUCUUCAAGUAGGUUGGAAUUAAGGGAAAUUUUGGUACGGUGUACGGUGGUCGUGAGUGAUAAAUUGUGCGUUGUGUAUGCAGGUUGUGAAUGAUUUUAAAGAAUUAGGUUUUGAGUUAGGGUAAUUCGGUAAUUGCAUAUAUGAGGAAUUUUGAAGUAUGAGAGUGUAUUUAGAUAAAUAUCCUACUUUUAGGGUAUGUCACAAACAAAUACCUAACAUAUAUACCUACACAAGUAAGCUCGCUCAUCCACCCUACUGUGCACAUACUAAUCACUAACUUUUAUUAAGAUAGCACAAUAGUACUGCAGGAUUAGGUACCUCCUAGGAUUAUAGCAAAUGUGUAUAGGCAGCCUUCAUCUGAAACAAUCUCCAAAAUAGGCGCAGCUUUGACAACUACAUUUACUGUCCACAAAGUAGCAUUAAAAUGUUAAAUCACUAGAAAAUAAAUCAUAAUGAUAAAUAAAUAAAUAAAUAAAAAACAUAUGUUACCAAGCAUUUUUUUUAAAUAACAAAGACUUUCGCUAAAAUUUACGGUAUUAGCCUCCUUAAGUUUAUGCUAUAUAUGUUGUUGCCUCUUAAUUUUGUUAUUGCUCAAUUAUGACCCCACUAGGCACUGGCAUUGCAUCAUUUGCAUUAGCUCAAAAUUCUCUAGAAAAAGUAAUGUACCUGGCAAAGCUCCUUUUUGAAACUGUAAAUGCUCCUCGUGAUUGUUGAGGAUAUUGCAUAGUUAGUAUAUUUCCCUCCAGUCUUGUUUUCUUGUUGAAUAAAAUGCAUACGGACAUCUAAUGCACACAUUGGUAAGCAACUAUUGCAGAUUUUAUAUCAAAUCAAUUCCUUACAAUUUCCUUGCCUCUUCUCAUUUCAAUUGUUCCGGGUUGUGGACGCGGAAAGAGAAGGAGAUUGCAGUUGCUACUCAUAGUGGAUUUUUAUAUCAUACCCUGAAGUGCUUUUGGAAAUGAUUGCCAUCCAUCUAUAAAGAGUGAAAUACUCACACAGUAAGUGUUACCCUCAUUUGUUCAUCUGCAAUUGUCUGUAAACAGCUUGAAACGUGGGUUACCAUAUAUAUAUAUAUUGUUUUGAAGGAAUUUAAUAAACCUAAGUGUUGAACUUCGUGCUUGAUGUGCUAUUUUAAGCCAUUUGGUUGGUGCCUGACUCUCCUCCAUUCUGCUGAUUCCUCAUUUACUUUUCUAAGCCAUCUGCUAAUAAUUUCUCGCUGCAAGAUAUCGUUUUGAAACUGCUGGUUCAUUUCGUAAGACUGGUAGCUGGAUAUGACUUUCUUUGCUUUUCGUUAUGUGCCUGUUUUCUGUUGAGCUCAAAGUUUUUCAUUCAUAGUUUUGUAAAAUUUGUAUGGUAAAUAAUGGUAGCUUUGAAUUAACCAGAUGGCCAGUUUCUGUUUUUAAGUAUUCUUCUGCGGUACGGUUUUUAUCUUAAAUUAGUCAUCUGGGGUAGUAAAAUUAGAUGGCUCUGUUCCAGGCGUGGGUUCUAGUCUCCCGAGGAGAUUGAAUAACCUCUUCAAUGUUCUUCCUUGUAGCAAUUACCAGCUGAAAAAUUGAUAGUAGGGGAAAUUUAAAUUUGCGGCAAAGAUUAAACAUAUCUCACUGGUUUUAUACACAAAUAUAUGUUGAUUUGGCUCAACUACUUGCUAGUAUGCUUUCUGCUAUCUGUCUGCAGCUUUGCUAAUUGCGAACUUCGCUCAAUGGUUAUUGUUGAUAGAAGGUGAGCAGGUUAAGUAUAUAAUUUCGUGAGAACUUGCUGUCCAGCCUAUGCACAACUCAUGUUUUCCAACUGUUGUUGCAAAAUAAUAAACUUAUCUUUUUUGUUGCAGCAUGAUUGGCUCAGAUGCGCCAACAACAAACCACCCAGGAAAGAUUCCUAGCGGUGUUGAUCUUCCUAGUGAUGUUGCUGCUGAGAAGCAUCCGAAGCAAGGAGCAUCUCAGUAAUCAUAGCCUGGGCCUGGGGUGAUACAUUGAUCGAACUGGAUUAUGAAUAUGAUGAUAUCAAGAUUUUCAUGUGAAUCACUGAAAUAGCUAUAUCAUCCAACUAAAAAGAUUUUAUGAGCUUGCAAGCUCAGUUACCCACUGUCAAGAUUCUUUCUUGGUACAGGCGAUGCGUUAAGUUUUUAAGACUAGGCGCCUAUUCUUAAUAGGAUGUAUGAAAAUGAAUUAUAUGUUAACUCAAAGAGACAAGAACCCUAGAUCAUUCUUAUGAUUAUUUUGCUCGUGAAGAAUAAUUUCAUCAAGAUUUGCAUCAUCUUGAUGUUUCCUUUUUAUUUGCACUUAUUUAUUUAUUUCCAUCUUUCCCUAUUACCUCGAUUUUAAUUGGUCAUUUCGUACAUUCUUAUAUAUAUUGUGAGUACCAUUGGGAACGGAUGCUGCUAAGUCUAAGUACCAUUAGGUAUGGGGUAGAAAUAAACAUGAAUAAAUCAAUUGAUCUACGUAAUUGCAAAGAAUAAUCAUUUCAAGUUUGAAGUUCAAAGUCCAAGGAAAUAUCUUUCUUUUGAAUCUGUUCAAACUUCAAACCAACCGAAGAUGGUGAGAGUCACAAAGGAAGAAAAAAAGCAAUGGAGACCCCAAUUUAAAUAUAUGUUAAUUGAGACUACGGGGAAUAGAGGUUUGUCUGUUGCAUGAAUUAAGAUGCAGAAAAUAUUAAACACGCUUUCAGAAAAUUCUCAAUAGGUCUCAGGAAUUUGGUCCAGCGAUUACGUUAAAGGCACAAAAUAACGAAUCAAAGUUGAUAGAUGUAAAAAUCAAAGUAAACCCGCCCAUCUCACACUUCAUUUAUUAUAUAUAUGUUGCUCACAGCAUUUAUUGUCCUCCCAUACUCAAUUGUGUCGUAAAACAUUUUCCCAAUUUCAAUUCAAUACUACCAGUACGAAUCUUUAACUUGUUGUUUCUAGCCAACGCUCUUUCCAUUUCUCAUCAAUUUUUGACACAAGACUUUGCAGAAAUGGUAACUGCCCAAGCUCAGUUUCUGUACUCACCAAACAAUUGCAAAAUUCUACACAUGGUGAGGCACGGACAAGGGGUUCACAAUAUGGAAGCAGAGAAGAAUAUUGAUGCAUUAUUGUCUCCAGAGUUGUUUGAUUCACCAAUCUCAGCAUUGGGUUGGCAGCAGGUUGCUGAUCUCCGCAAGUACGUUCAUGCAACCGGACUCUUAAAGCGGAUUGACUUGGUCGUCACUUCCCCUUUGUUAAGGUCGAAUCAUUAUCAUCACAUACAUCGCCCCAAUUUCAUUUUUUAAUCGCAUGCCUCUCCCAAGUGUUUGAACUCCCGCGUGGUCAGCUAAGUAAUGCUGCUUCAAAACCACGCAGGCGAAAUAUAAUGGCUUAACUAACAAUUGUAUGUUUGGAAUUUGGCAGGACCAUGCAAACAGCAGUUGGAGUGUUUGGUAGCGAAGGAGCAGAUGCAGGAUGGAAGUCAAAUUGCCCACCCAUUGUAGCUCACGAGCUUUGUCGAGAUCGUUUGGUAUUAAUUGUUUACUUGCAUUAUAAUUAAUUAAGAAAAGGCUAACAUAUAUAUAUAUAUCAUGUAUAUUAAUAAUCAUGUAACUAACUCCAUUUAAUCAACACACACACCAAUUUUGUUCUGAUUUUAAUUAAUUAAUUGAUUAAUUUUGUUCAUCAGGGCCUUCGUCCAUGUGAUCAGAGGAGAAGCGUGAGUGAGUGUCGAUCUCUUUUCCCAGAAAUCGACUUUUCACUGGCAAGUAUAUUAUGCUUUACCGAUAAAUUAAUUAAUUAAUGUUGUUGUGUUUUGAAUACCAUCCACGUUAAUUAAUUAAUUAUAAAACCAUCAAUUAAUCCGUAACUUUUAUUUACUUAUUUAUUUAUUAAUGCAGAUGGAGAGUGAAGAAGAUGAUAUGUGGUAUCCUGAAGCCAGAGAGCCUUAUGAAGAUAUCGAAGCCAGGGGAAUUGAGUUUCUCAAAUGGUGAUUGAAUUUGAACAUCAUCACAUGCAUAUACAUAUAUGCAUUAAUUUUUCUUUUUUUCUUUUUCUAUCAAUUAAUUAAUUAAUAUUAAGAAUGAAAUUAGUUAACAAAUUUAAGCUGGGCCGGUUAUUAAUUAAUUUACAUGUACAGGCUGUGGACACGGCCGGAAAAGGAGAUAGCAAUUGUGAGCCAUGGGGUAGUGUUGCAACAUUUUCUCUAUGUUUUAGAAAAUGACAGUGCUGACCCGUCCGUGAAAACUGGUUUGUGCAGACGGUGAGAACAACUACUAGUACCAGCACUUAUUCAUAUUGGCUUCCUCUGCUUUAGCCUUUUGGCUUGACUUUUAUAUCUUUGACCAAAUCCAAAAAUCACGUGUAUUUUUUUAUCUAGCUAAGCUACUUUCCACAUUGGUGGCUGACUGCAUAUGCUUAAUUAAUGUUGUUAAUUAAUUAAUUCUGUAGGAAUGAAUAAUCUUUUUUUUUUUUUUUAUGUGCAUGCACUCAGCUUUAACAAUUGUGAGCUUCGUUCUGUUGUCGUCGUCAACAAAGGGUACGUCAGCUUCUCAUUUGCAACAAAUAUGAAUCAAUGCUCUGAAAUCUAUCCGUCUAAUUAUUCCCAAAAGGCUCACCCUUUACUUAAUUAAAUUUGCAGGAUGAUGGACUCAGAUUAUAUUCCCUCGGCAACUAAUUAAGUAAUAAUCUACUUUGCAUCAACUCCUUCUUGCGGUUAAGUGGUCCGCCAGCUUCCCAACUCAACGAUGACGUGACUAUAAAUUGUUUCAUUUAUUCAUUUUUUUUUUCUUUUUUCCAUUGGGAUUCUCUCUCACUCUCCGUCCAACCCAAGGAUCGAUGAUAUGACGACUAGAUAUAAAUUGCUUCAUUUAUUCAUUAGUUUUAUUAUUUUCCAUAAGGAUUUUGUAUCCAAUUGAAUACUUUAUUUGUUGUUAAUAAGAUGCUGUCAUACCCUUUAUGUAAUGAAUCCCGUCAAAAUUUUAUAAGUAUUUUGUUGCGGACCGCCUAAGUUGCUAGUCCAAUUACCCACAAUUUCGGAGAAACUUGCUAGCUUCAUCUUUCUUUUUCAUCUUUGUUCCAAUAUUUAUUCAUUCGUUUUUCUAUCACGUUAACACUAAAGCCUAAUAAUUAUGUCUUAAUAAAAUUAACUUACAGUACUUACUCUUUUUUGAGUUAUCACAACUCUCAAAGCGUUUAUAUAUAUGUUGAAACCUUGUCCAUUGUUAUCCUUAACUAUUUUGGAUCUCAACUUAUAUGUGUUUUAAUUAUGGGAUAACAAAAUCAAGCAUUGCUACUAAUAAGUGUCAUGCUAGUAUAAUAGACUUAUAAAGGUUGUGUUAGGUAAGUAACAAAAAUUGGCUUGAAAGCAAGAGAAUUUUAAAAAUGACAGUUACUUUUUUUUUUUAAUUACCAGCUCUUCAUGCUGCGUUAGUUGAAUCUUAGUACCUUAAAAUUAUUCCUUUACAUCUCUUCAUAAACUCAAGGAUCUGGAAUUGAUAUUAAGUUGGAGGAGCUUUAAUUCUCAACAACCCAAAAAAUGAAAAAAGAAAAAAGAAAAAGGACGAAGCUUUUGCUCAAAUAUCAAUUACUUGGUCAUGAUGCAUAAUAUAUUUCAAUAUAAAUUUAUCAUUUAAUGGAUAUAUGACAUCUUUUAUGACUAGGAGCAAAACGAUAAUUUUUUUUAGUUAGGUCAUGUUGAAAUUAUUUAAUUUAGUCGAGGUAUUAAUAAUUUAUAUAAUUUUUAAUAUAGUUUUUACAAUUUUCGUUAAGGUUUGAUGUAGUACGCAUUUAAUCAAACAUUUUAUUGAGAGUUUUAUGGAAGAAAGAAUAGCAGAAAUACUCUCAUGAAUCGCAUUACAUUAAAUUGUCAUAUUAGAUUGAAAACUUAACUUGAGAUAAUUAUAUUACAAAUCAAAAUAUUUAAUGAGGAGAAGGAAAAAAAUUCAAGCAUAUACUAUGUGUUAAUUAAUUUUCUUGUCGUUAAAGUUAAAAUGUAAAUAUAUCUCAAAAGGAAAAAAUUAUAAUUUAGCCAAAAAUUAGGACAGGAUACAAUUCGACCCAACCAACAAUAGCUUUGCUGCAGGGCCGCAGAUUAUGAUAAAAUCUUUUGGAAAAUUAGUAAACAAUUGCUUUUUUUUUAGGAAAAAAUCAUUCUCAUCUCUACAGUCUCAUGCAAUAGUUCAUUUCAUCCUUACUUUUUAAAUAAUAGCCCAAAACAUCCUUUUGUUAACUUACUGUUAGUUGAAUGUCAUUUGUUAAUAAUUUAUUAAGGGUAAAAAAAGAUUUUCUAUCAAAGAAAAAAUUAAAAAAAUAAAUAAAUAUUGACAUAUAACUAAAAAUAAUUUUAUCUAAUCCCACUAAAUAAGAAAUAUCUAAAAAGAUGAAAAAUUUAUAUUUCAAGCAAUUAUUUUUUCACUUAUUUCUAUUUUGGCGGCAUGAAAGCUCUAUAAACCCUAGAUUUAAGUACCAAAAAUAUCACAAUUUUCUUAUUCAUAUAAGUAUACUCUCUAAUUGCACUGUAAAAUGGUUUGAAUUGAGUUGAAGAUAAAGAAGAUAUUCAGUACAUGCAAGCACAUAAAAAUUGGUGGCAUUUUUGAGUUUUUCUUUCAAUGAUUUAAAGAUAUUGUGUUAAUUACAGUUUGUUCCUUAUGGCAAUUAUUCAAUGGCUAUAUCAAACUAUAUCAUCGUUGAUUUCAUUUAAGAAAAAAAUUAAUGAAUUUUACAUACUUUGUAGUGCUAUUUAAUUGUGUAAAAAAUAUUUUAAUAUAGUUUGUAUCACUUUAAUGAAAAUUUCUAUUUUGCCCUCAAUGAAUAACUAGUUAACGGUUUUAUACUAACGGUGAGUUAAUAGAUGGAUAUUUUAAGAUAUUGUUUGAAAAGUAGGAAGGAAAUUGGCUAUUGUAUUAAACCCUAGGGAUGAAAAGAGUUUUUUCCCUUCUUUUUUUUUACAUUGAUAUCACAAUCAGACUAUCUCAUAUUGCAUGAGACUAUUACUGAUAUUUAUAAAUUAAACUAUUAUUAAGACAAGUUUACAUUAAAUUUUAUGAAGUAUUGCCUAAAUGUUUUUUUAUCAUUCCUAAUAUUUAAGGGACGUUAACUUCACUCAUAUUCAAACUAUUAUUAUGAUAAGUUUACAUUAAAUCCCAUAAAGCACUGCCCAAAUUUUUUAUCUUUUCCAAUAUUUGAAGGAUGUCUACUCCACUUGUAUUUAGUAGGGAAAAUAUCCACCGUCUACCCGUUUUUUCCAACUUUUUCAAAAAUACACAAUUCUUUUUUUUUUUGCUGGAAUCCACCUGAAAUUGCGUUUUGUUUCACUUUUCCACUUCCGUUUGGAAUUCGUUAGGAAAACUAACGGAAACUUAGUCAAAUGACUAUUUUACCCCCCCCCAAACUUAGUAAAACACUAAACUAAUCAAAAGAAAUAAUCUUCUUCUCCUCCUCUACUUUACUAUCCUUGCUAUGGUCGCCCGAGUCGUCUUCAUCGUUAUCAUUAUCGUUGUCAUCUACUUCUUCAUCGUCAUCAUCUUCCAUCACUUCACAAGGUGAAUUCUGCUUCAUUCUUUUCAAGGCACCGUCUUGCCACUCGUCUGAGCAGCAACCAGGUCUUUACGCAUAGAGCUGGUCAACUCGAUGGAUGAUCCUUUCAGCGCCGUUUUGAAAACCGUGACAUUGUUGCUCGGCUGGUAAAACUGAGGCCAGACGCUGUCGCAUAAGCUGACGUCCUUGUAGUAGACCUCCACCGAGCUGCCUCUCUCGUAGUAGAUGCCGAUCUUGUCGUCGACGGAGUAGUUGGGCGCUUCGGGACGGAAGAUGAGGUAGAAGAUGCCGGCGACGAUGGCCAAGAGGAGGACGAGGAGAAGCAGCGAGCAGCAGCAGAAACAGAAGCAGCAGCAGGUAGUGCUGCUGGAUUUGCGGCGGCGGGAGCACGAGUGGCAGCUUGUUCGUUGACGUAGGUUCCUGCGGCCGCGAGCGCCGGUGGAUGUGAGGGCUCUUGUUCGUUGCGCGGUGUCGUUUUGGGGUGGAUCCUUUCAGCCAUUUUGAGUAGCAGCUAGCGCUACAACUGAAGAAAAUUAAAAGAGUCAGCUCUUUUGCCCUGAGAGCUUUUUCUGAAGAAAAUUACGAAGUUGUUGAAUAACAAAAGGAGAUCUCUAAAGAUUUUUUGGAAACAAUUGGAGUAAAGCUCUCUGUCAAGCCUGGAUUGAAUUGUUCGAAGAUCAAUGUGUUGUAAACGACGUCGUUUGGGGUUGCUUUGCUGAAAUGACCGAUUUACCCCUACGACAUCAGUAAUGUUAUAACGGAUUCCAAACAGAAGUGGAAAAGUGAAACAAAACGCAAUUUCAGGUGGAUUCCAGCAAAAAAAAAAAAGAAUUGUGUAUUUUUGAAAAAGUUGAAAAAAACAGGUGGACGGUGGAUAUUUUCCCUAUUUAGUAAGAGAGAAAAUUAUCUCUACUUAAUUAUUUAAUAAUUGAGAAAUGAUUGAAACCUCCUAUAACGUUUUUAUGGAGGGUUGAACUGUGGAGCAACUGCUCUAACCUCUCGGCCUUGGCUUGUAAACACUUACAUAUACUAACAUUAAAUAAUUUUUUUAUUUUUAAUUGACAAUACUAUCCGAAAUCUCUUUUUGCAAGACAAAAAAUUAGAUAUGUUCAAUUUCAAGAUGAAGCAAGUAACACCGAAAACAUAAAUUACAAAAGUCACGUAUACAUUUUCUUUUUUAUGGGUUUAGUUUUAAAUUAGGUAAUUAUUAAUUUAUACAAUGAGUAGGCCUUUUGAAAAAAAUAUGAAUUAUUAAAAUUUUAUUAUCUUAUAAAUUUAUCGAAUUAUUAAUUUACGAUGCUGGCCCCAAAUCAGGAUUGAUAAAAAUUGUUAUUUAAUUAAGAUAAUCAACUUAUUGAAUAUUAAUUUUAUACCAUAGAACUUCAAUUGAUUAAUACUUAAUAAAUUAUGAUAAGGAUUUUGCUAUGUUACAUUUAAUGUAACAUACACAACCCACAAGAACCACACAAUUAUGGGGUCUCACAAUUUAUGUGGUUCUUCUAGGUUGUGUAUGUUACAUUAAAUGUAACAUAGAGACUCCCUUGUGAUAAAGACUUAAAAGCAAGUAACCUUGGUAAUCACGUUGUUGGAAGACUUUUAAAGCCAGUAACGGAAAGAGAUUGGUAUGGUGUCAAUUCCAAUUCCUAUUUUAAGACAUGGAAAUUAAUGGAAUCAUGCGAGUAACACAAAAUAAGUCCAGCAAAAGCUCCUUCCAUGCAAUUACAGGAAUUUAGGUCGGAAAUUUAAUACGUGUUUACAAUUCCAUGCUUACAAAUUAAUGGUGAAUGAACGUUACAGCUGGCAGCUGGAUUUUGGAUCUUCUGUUGUAUGCCUCUGUACUGUUUACAAGACCUAUUCCACUUAGGAAAUUAAUCCAUCUUACAAGUCAAGCUGCGGAAGCCAAGCAGUUCCGAGAGAUAUAAUGAACAUAGUGUUGAUGAAUCCAUUAAUCAAUUAUUUAUUCCAUGUAUAUUUUUUAUUUGUUAAGAAAACUCCUCCCUGCCAAAUCCAUUUGCAUUGGCCUUAAAUUGACUUACUGCCAACUAAAAUAUUACAGUAAUAACACAUUGGCGAAUUAUUAAUUACAAAAUGCAAAGUUGGAAAUGACUUGAAAAUUGGAAUAAUAAUAUUUGUAAUUGCCUCUCGAGUGUCAUGGCAAUGUCGCAGAAGCAGGCAGACGCUUUCAUAGAAGCUUCUCUGUGGAAGUACUUUUCGUCCAAUGCAUGGAAUUUAUCAGAGUUUUUGUCUCUGACUAAAGCUCUCCAAUUCCAAAGAAAAGUCAACUGAUUUGUAAAUAUCAAAUCAAACUAUAUGUGUAUAUAGAUAUACAUCAUAUGCCACACAACACCACCACCAUUGACAUCGAUCCUUCCCAGCUUUGCUUUCUAUUUGACAUAUAUAUAUAUAUAUAUUUAUAUUUAUAUAUCCAAUAAUAAUAACAAUCCAAUAUAAAAUUGUCUUCCGGUUGCCUUCCUGUCCCAGCUCCCUCUCCCGCUCGUUUCGUCUGUGUUAUUAUUAUUAUUAUUAUUAUUUUCCAAAUCUAAUAUCUGGAAAAAAAAAUGGAUGCUUUUGCUGCUUUAUUUCGAGGCAAGACUUUCGUUGUUUCUCCUCUCUCUGGUAUGUUAGUUAUCUCCUAUUUCUUCUGCGGCCAGUUGGGAAGCGUAUAAUUGUUAUGUUGCUUCUUCUGAUUAGCCAUCUGUUUGUUGCAUGUUACUUUGCAAGGUGCUUUUGCAGUUCUUGCUUAAUUAAUUAACAUAAGAUAUGGACAUUCACGGUCUAGAUUGACUCGGUACCGGUUUGAUCUCUUCCAUGCUAAUUUUUUAAAAUGUUGCGAUUGAGGACUGUUUGGUAUUAGCGUAUCCGUAUUGUAGUUGGGUAACUAUAACUUUUAAACUACAACAAAUAUUUGAUAAAAUUUCAUUUAAAUUAUAUUUAUAUUUGUGGUAAUAGUACUACCAAAAAGCCAAGCCAUUGUCAAGGAAGUUGGAUUAUGAAUUAUGGGAAAAAAAUACCAAGUAAUUCAUUGAUGGAUGUAUUCCAUUCCGAAUAAGAAAUUUCUGGUGAUACAAUUUUUUGUGCAAGCAAAUAAAUACGAUAACAUGAUUGAUAGAUGAUAAAUAAGAACAUAGUAAAUAAGUAAAUUUUAGAUAAAAAUGUAUAUGAGUCAAGAGAUCAUUUAAAUCUACCAACUCUUUACCUUUGAUGGCAUACUUGUAUACAUGGUAAAUUCUUUUUGGAAAAAUUUACAAUGACAUUCAUGGAUCACUAUAUAUAUUAUUUAUGGGAACUUGUAAAACACAAAGAUUAGAAGCAUAUAUAUGCGGCAUCAUUUGAGUAGGAUAUAUGCUGCAAAUUACCUCUAGCUAGUAAUUCCAUUUUGUAUUUGC